AAAAAGGGAUAGGGAGUGGACUGGAAGAUGAUACAUUCAUGACAUUAUGGGACUUUCUAGAGUCCUGGAUUAUUCAAAAUGAUUGGGUGGCGAUUUUCUUUAUAAUUUUACUAGGAAUUAUUUUUGAGAUAAUACUCAUGAAAGCUUGUGCAUCCUUUCGGAAGAAGCCCACACUUCCUGAAAAGGGUAGUUCAGAUGUCCAGGAGACGGAAGACAGUUGCCCCAAAAGCAGGAAACUUGCUCCAGAGAAUUGGUCAGUUAUUAAUUCAUCUUCAGGAGAAAGAGUUGGCACCUUUUUAGAAAAAAGAAUUACUUCAUCACUUACAUCUGAAGAAAAGGAAUGUAACUUUGAAGAUAGAACUUUAUUCUCACGUGAAAUACUAUGGUCAGGUACUAGUGAAAGUGAAGAUCAAGUAAGUCCCUCUAGUGAAAGUCGUGUGCCAUCUUCAAAUGGAAUCAGCUCAUCUUUGCCAUUGUUUUAUUCAGAAGUAGAGGAAAUGUGUCUAAGCCAUACAGAGCAUCCAGACAGAGAAUAUGAAACCAUACAAUUUUCCUCCAAGAAAUUAUUUUCAAUGAUGAAAACCAACAAAAACAAAAAUUCAGGAUUUUCUUCUGAUCUUAGCUUUUCAGCAUCUAGAUUCACUGUAGAAAAUGAAGAUCUAGAUGUGGCACCUUGC
RNAcentral lists this long non-coding RNA (677 nucleotides) under Pan troglodytes (chimpanzee). RNAcentral describes it as "long non-coding RNA NONPTRT004592". Lineage: Eukaryota; Metazoa; Chordata; Mammalia; Primates; Hominidae. The record is from RNAcentral.